RNAcentral lists this ribosomal RNA (668 nucleotides) under uncultured bacterium. Its description in RNAcentral is "bacterial SSU rRNA". It matches the Rfam family "Bacterial small subunit ribosomal RNA", at positions 84 to 752 of the family's 1533-position model. The record is from RNAcentral.
GAUGACGGCGAGUGGCGCACGGGUGCGUAACACGUAUGCAACCUACCUUUUACCGGGACAUAACCUUGAGAAAUCGGGGCUAACAUUCCAUAAUAUUUUUGAUUGGCAUGUUAGGAUAAUUAAAAUUCCGAUGGUAUAAGAUGGGCAUGCGUUACAUUAGCUAGUUGGUAAGAUAAAGGCUCACCAAGGCUACGAUGGAUAGGGGGUCUGAGAGGAUAAUCCCCCACACUGGAACUGAGACACGGUCCAGACUCCUACGGGAGGCAGCAGUAGGGAAUAUUGGGCAAUGGAGGCAAGUCUGACCCAGCCAUGCCGCGUGCAGGAAGACGGCCUUAUGGGUUGUAAACUGCUUUUAAUAGGGAAAAAAGUCUCUGACGUGUCAGAGGUUGCAAGUACCGUAAGAAUAAGCAUCGGCUAACUCCGUGCCAGCAGCCGCGGUAAUACGGAGGAUGCAAGCGUUAUCCGGAUUUAUUGGGUUUAAAGGGUGCGCAGGCGGAAUAACAAGUCAGUGGUGAAAUCUACAUGCUUAACAUGGAAAGUGCCAUUGAUACUGUUGGUCUAGUAUCCAAAUGAAGUAGGCGGAAUGUAGCAUGUAGCGGUGAAAUGCAUAGAUAUAACACAGAACACCGAUGGGAAGACAGGUUACUAAAUUGAAAUAGACGCUCAGC